UAAGGAAUAUUGCUCAAUGGGAGAAAUCCUGAAGCAGCAACGCCGCGUGGAGGAUGAAGGGUUUUUAACUUGUAAACUCCUGUAAAGAAGGAAAAAAUUCCCAUUAGAUGGGAAAUGAUGGUACUUCUGGAGUAAGCCCCGGCUAACUACGUGCCAGCAGCCGCGGUAAUACGUAGGGGGCAAGCGUUGUCCGGAUUUACUGGGUGUAAAGGGUGCUCAGGCGGAUUUGUAAGUCAGAGGUGAAAUCUCACAGCUUAACUGUGAAACUGCCUUUGAUACUGCAAGCCUAGAGUAUGGAAGAGAGUGAUGGAAUAUCUGGUGUAGCAGUGAAAUGCGUAGAUAUCAGAUAGAACACCAAUGGCGAAGGCAGUCACUUGGUCCAUAACUGACGCUAAAGCACGAAAGCGUGGGUAGCAAACAGGAUUAGAUACCCUGGUAGUCCACGCCCUAAACGAUGAAUACUAGAUGUUGGCUUCGCAUGAAGUCAGUAUCUGAGCUAACGCAUUAAGUAUUCCACCUGGGAAGUACGAUCGCAAGGUUGAAACUCAAAGGAAUUGACGGGGUCAUAGCUGUUUCCUG
This 579-nucleotide ribosomal RNA is filed under the name uncultured bacterium. RNAcentral's name for it is "partial 16S ribosomal RNA". It matches the Rfam family "Bacterial small subunit ribosomal RNA", at positions 355 to 1376 of the family's 1533-position model. The record is from RNAcentral.